Molecule: long non-coding RNA, 2258 nt
Organism: Zingiber officinale
Lineage: Eukaryota; Viridiplantae; Streptophyta; Magnoliopsida; Zingiberales; Zingiberaceae
Exons: 3
Source: RefSeq, a predicted model, not a curated record
AACUCGAAUCUCCAAUCUUGGAUAUCUUCUUCUUGUUGUUAUUGCAGCAAUCCAGUGAUCUCUGGGCGCAGCGGUUUAUCGAUCUCUUCCUGACCUUGUUGGUCUCGUUCGUGGUGGAUUUGAUCGGUUUUUGUCUUGCCUCUUUAGGGUUACAAAGCGGGAAUCGAUCGAUAAACCUCUGCAUCCGGAUUGUAUCCAUCCUUUUCCCCCACUACCUUUUCUUUUCCUUUUUCAUUAAAAAAAUUAUCUGAUUUGAAUUGUUCGGAGCUGAGUAAGUUAACUUGCAGACGUUUUAGACGGUAUUUAAUGGUGUUAAAUGCAUCGAGAUCGUUUAGAAAGUGGACUCAGAAAGGCAUGAUCCAUGAUCCAUGAUUCUAAGCUGAAGGCUAGUUUGCUUUGAGCAAGAGCUAUAUCUCGAUCUUCCUUAAAUUCGUUUUACUCUCGGAAUGAGUGAAAUGAUAGAACUACGCUCUAUUAUGUCGAUUGGUAUUCCCAGUUCAGUACUUCUAUGCACAGCAUGCUUCUACCUGUUUAUAGCAUAGGCAAGAUUUGAUUGAUUUCACUUGAUGGUUGAGGUUUAUAUUGUGUCUUGGGAAGAAAAUGCCAAUGGGGGUUCAGAUCGAUUGCCGAAACUGGGUUCCUAGGUGACUCUGCUCUGUUUGGAUAUUCUUUUACUCAGAGGGGAAUAGAAAGAUCUUCCUUUUGAGUACUACAUUAUCCUCCUCCAGGCUCCAGUCCUCCUUCUUUGUCCAGAAGUAAGUGUAUUCAUCAAGAAAGCUCAUCAUCCAAUGUUCUCUGUGAGUCGCCCCAUCAGUACCGGCAAAGCCGCGCCGGUUCGUCCACCAAAUCUGUACGCCGCUGCAGCGUCCAACGCCUCCGGUGAGCAGGUGCGACGAUUUGCUCUGAGUUUUUUUUUCAGCGCCUGCUGGCGGCGACUCUGGUGGGGUUGCGCGGCAUAUGGACACGACUUCGCCGUCACAACUUAUCUGCUACUAGACAUGCUGUCGGAAACUACUCAUUCACGCCAGACUUGGUAUUUGAUCGCCAUCUUCCUCGUUUGAUUUUCUAUGGACGUCAAUAUCGACAUGUUCAUCUUUUCCUUUGAUGCUACUCUUUGUUAACUGAAUUACAACCUUGUGCAUAUCAACCAACACUGGAAUUCGACUGCAACGGAUUGAUGUGUCUUCAUGGUAUGCGAGGCACGAUCUCUGUUGGAAACGUCGACGGCCGCUGCUGCGAUCAGUUCGUCCUGAUCAGUACCAUCGCGUGUGAGCCCACUAACCGCUGGCUGCGAGUCCGCCGGUCGCUGCCCGCAAGCUAUAGACCAGGCUUGCGAUCUUAUGACUACCGAAUGGACUGGGUUUUGAGUGGGCCGUGAGCUGAGCAGAUUAGUCCGGUUUGGGUGGGUCGGGCGUGUCCAGCCUGAGCCUGCGCCACUACCACAUGACAGUUGACACCCUACUGCACCUGUCGAUCGUUUCAAGAGGCUAUGGAUCUCAGGCGGCAUCCUGGUCUCCGGCGGCGGAGCAGACGUCGGAGGAGCUGAGAAGAGCACCAUCUCGCAGCGCCUUCGAAUGGUGUCGCUGGAUUUCAACUAAAACUUGUGUCUGACAGAUGCCCCAGUGAAUCCACAUCUUUUGGGACUCACUGUUGUGUAUGAGAAUUGUAAAAACAUCACAGGCUGGCAGUAGAAUGAGAUCUAGUUGGUCAACCUGGAAAGCAGAGGACUGCAAGUAAUGUGGAUUUGUCAUGGUAUCUCCACCACCCUUUAGCCUCACGUCACCGUCAAGCCACCCCCACCAUUGGCUCAAAAGCUUUGCCCUGCUAUAAAUGAGCCACACUGGCCUCUUACAGACCUUGAGCAGCAAAUCUUAUUCAACACAGAGUCAAGGAGUACCGAGAAGAGAGUGAGUCAAAUGGGAGGAAGCCAAUCCACUUCCAGUGUUUCUUCUUGGUUCUGCUUCAGGGGCACAGAUGAAGAAGAAGAGAGGGAGCCAAAGUACACUCCGAGGAAGGUAAGGCCCAGCGACGACGAUUGUUGCUACUGGGUUGGUGCGCCAGAUGUGGACACGAAAGCCUCUGCUUUCAUUGCCAAGUUUCAUGAAGCUCGCUUCCUGGACCUUGAGACUCAAACCUCUGAGAUUUGAGCUUAAAUCUAAAGCAAGAAGAUUAUGUUUGCUCUGUACAGACUAGCUGGUAGCUGUAGAUACUUGUUUGAUCUAACUUAGUAUGAUAACUAUGCUAUCUUUUCUUUUAAA